AAAGGGCAGGGUCUAGGUAUAAGCAUUAUACCGUGAAACUGCGAAUGGCUCAUUAAAUCAGUUAUCGUUUAUUUGAUAGUACCUUACUACUUGGAUAACCGUGGUAAUUCUAGAGCUAAUACAUGCUGAAAACCCCAACUUCGGGAGGGGUGUAUUUAUUAGAUAAAAAACCAACGCCCUUCGGGGCUUCUUGGUGAUUCAUGAUAACUUCACGGAUCGCAUGGCCUUGCGCCGGCGACGGUUCAUUCAAAUUUCUGCCCUAUCAACUUUCGAUGGUAAGGUAUUGGCUUACCAUGGUUUCAACGGGUAACGGGGAAUUAGGGUUCGAUUCCGGAGAGGGAGCCUGAGAAACGGCUACCACAUCCAAGGAAGGCAGCAGGCGCGCAAAUUACCCAAUCCCGACACGGGGAGGUAGUGACAAUAAAUACUGAUACAGGGCUCUUUUGGGUCUUGUAAUUGGAAUGAGUACAAUUUAAACCUCUUAACGAGGAACAAUUGGAGGGCAAGUCUGGUGCCAGCAGCCGCGGUAAUUCCAGCUCCAAUAGCGUAUAUUAAAGUUGUUGCAGUUAAAAAGCUCGUAGUUGAAACUUGGGCCUGGCUGGCAGGUCCGCCUCACCGCGUGUACUUGUCCGGCCGGGCCUUUCCUUCUGGAGAACCUCAUGCCCUUCACUGGGUGUGUUGGGGAACCAGGACUUUUACUUUGAAAAAAUUAGAGUGUUCAAAGCAGGCCUUUGCUCGAAUACGUUAGCAUGGAAUAAUAGAAUAGGACGUGCGGUCCUAUUUUGUUGGUUUCUAGGACCGCCGUAAUGAUUAAUAGGGACAGUCGGGGGCAUCAGUAUUCAAUUGUCAGAGGUGAAAUUCUUGGAUUUAUUGAAGACUAACUACUGCGAAAGCAUUUGCCAAGGAUGUUUUCAUUAAUCAGUGAACGAAAGUUAGGGGAUCGAAGACGAUCAGAUACCGUCGUAGUCUUAACCGUAAACUAUGCCGACUAGGGAUCGGGCGAUGUUCUUUUUCUGACUCGCUCGGCACCUUACGAGAAAUCAAAGUUUUUGGGUUCUGGGGGGAGUAUGGUCGCAAGCUGAAUUAGAGAAUUUUUUCUGGGGAAGAAAAAAAAGGGGG
RNAcentral lists this ribosomal RNA (1119 nucleotides) under Neodidymelliopsis sp. Its description in RNAcentral is "SSU rRNA". It matches the Rfam family "Eukaryotic small subunit ribosomal RNA", at positions 55 to 1136 of the family's 1831-position model. The record is from RNAcentral. Lineage: Eukaryota; Fungi; Ascomycota; Dothideomycetes; Pleosporales; Didymellaceae.